This is a small nucleolar RNA of Loxodonta africana (African savanna elephant), 124 nucleotides long. Lineage: Eukaryota; Metazoa; Chordata; Mammalia; Proboscidea; Elephantidae. The record is from Ensembl.
CUGCUGCCUUUGAGCCACGCCUGAGCGUGGUGUCAGUGCUAAGCUGCUGUACCAGAGCACGUUCUUGCGUAUAACUGGGGCCUUCAGUUCCCUGCAGGCUGCCGUUUAAGCCACAGUGACAUGA